UGCAGUCGAACGUGAAAGUAGCAAUAUGAGUAAAGUGGCGUACGGGUGAGUWWCACGUGGGUAAUCUACCUUAAAAUCUGGAAUAACCGGCCGAAAGGCUGGCUAAUACUGGAUAGAUCAAGUGCACUGUAGAGGUGCGAUUGGGAAAGGGAGCUCGCAAGAGCCUUCGUUUUAAGAUGAGCCCGCGUCUGAUUAGCUAGUUGGUAAGGUAAUGGCUUACCAAGGCGACGAUCAGUAGCUGGUCUGAGAGGAUGAUCAGCCACACUGGAACUGAAACACGGUCCAGACUCCUACGGGAGGCAGCAGUGGGGAAUCUUGCGCAAUGGACGAAAGUCUGACGCASCCACGCCGCGUGAGUGAAGAAGGCCUUCGGGUUGUAAAGCUCUGUCGGAGGGGACAAAAACGUUUAGGGUUAAUAGCCCUAGAUCUUGAUGGUACCCUUAAAGGAAGCACCGGCUAACUUCGUGCCAGCAGCCGCGGUAAUACGAAGGGUGCAAGCGUUGCUCGGAAUUAUUGGGCGUAAAGGGUAGGUAGGUGGUUGCGUAUGUCUGGGGUGAAAUCCCUGAGCUUAACUCAGGAAGUGUCUUGGAAACGGCGUAACUAGAGUGCUAGAGAGGUUCGUGGAAUUCCCAGUGUAGCGGUGAAAUGCGUAGAGAUUGGGAGGAACACCAGAGGCGAAGGCGGCGAACUGGAUAGCAACUGACACUGAACUACGAAAGCGUGGGUAGCAAACAGGAUUAGAUACCCUGGUAGUCCACGCUGUAAACGAUGGGUACUAGGUUUCGUGGGAGUUGACCCCUGCGGAACCGGCGCUAACGCAAUAAGUACCCCGCCUGGGAAGUACGGUCGCAAGACUAAAACUCAAAGGAAUUGACGGGAGCCCGCACAAGCGGUGGAUUAUGUGGUUUAAUUCGAAGCAACGCGCAGAACCUUACCUAGGUUUGACAUCCUUUGAC
This 956-nucleotide ribosomal RNA is filed under the name uncultured bacterium. RNAcentral's name for it is "bacterial SSU rRNA". It matches the Rfam family "Bacterial small subunit ribosomal RNA", at positions 56 to 995 of the family's 1533-position model. The record is from RNAcentral.